AACGAACGCUGGCGGAGUGCUUCAGACAUGCAAGUCGUACGCGAAAGUCUCCUUCGGGAGACGAGUAGAGUGGCGCACGGGUGAGUAACGCGUGGAUAAUCUGCCUUCGGGUUCGGGACAACUCCGGGAAACUGGAGCUAAUACCGGAUAAGACCACAAGGUCCUCGGACCCCGUGGUAAAAGGUGGCCUCUUCUCGAAAGCCAUCGCCCGUCGAUGAGUCCGCGUCCCAUUAGCUAGUUGGUGAGGUAACGGCUCACCAAGGCGACGAUGGGUAGCUGGUCUGAGAGGAUGACCAGUCACACUGGAACUGAGACACGGUCCAGACUCCUACGGGAGGCUG
Molecule: ribosomal RNA, 341 nt
Filed under: uncultured Pseudomonadota bacterium
Lineage: Bacteria; Pseudomonadati; Pseudomonadota
Description: bacterial SSU rRNA
Rfam family: Bacterial small subunit ribosomal RNA
Source: RNAcentral